GACAGAGGUGCCAAGCGUUAGGCGGAAUCACUGGGCUUAAAGCGUGUGUAGGCGGAUAUCUAAGUACCUUGUGAAAUCCCACGGCUCAACCGUGGAACUGCUUGGUAUACUGGGUGUCUUGAGCCAUCUAGGGGCUACCGGAACAAAUGGUGGAGCGGUGAAAUGCGUAGAUAUCAUUUGGAACGCCAAUGGUGAAAACAGGUAGCUGGGGAUGUGCUGACGCUGAGACGCGAAAGCGUGGGGAGCGAACAGG
RNAcentral lists this ribosomal RNA (253 nucleotides) under uncultured bacterium. RNAcentral's name for it is "partial 16S ribosomal RNA". It matches the Rfam family "Bacterial small subunit ribosomal RNA", at positions 524 to 776 of the family's 1533-position model. The record is from RNAcentral.